UGACUUAGCAUCACACGCCAUCCC
This 24-nucleotide non-coding RNA is filed under the name Arabidopsis thaliana (thale cress). Lineage: Eukaryota; Viridiplantae; Streptophyta; Magnoliopsida; Brassicales; Brassicaceae. The record is from RNAcentral.